RNAcentral lists this ribosomal RNA (492 nucleotides) under uncultured bacterium. Its description in RNAcentral is "partial 16S ribosomal RNA". It matches the Rfam family "Bacterial small subunit ribosomal RNA", at positions 29 to 507 of the family's 1533-position model. The record is from RNAcentral.
AGUGAACGCUGGCGGUAGGCCUAACACAUGCAAGUCGAACGGCAGCACAGUAAGAGCUUGCUCUUACGGGUGGCGAGUGGCGGACGGGUGAGGAAUACAGCGGAAUCUACGUGUUCGUGGGGGAGAACGUAGGGAAACUUACGCUAAUACCGCAUACGACCUACGGGUGAAAGCAGGGGAUCUUCUGACCUUGCGCGAUUGAAUGAGCCGAUGUCGGAUUAGCUAGGUGGCGGGGUAAAGGCCCACCAAGGCGACGAUCCGUAGCUGGUCUGAGAGGAUGAUCAGCCCCACUGGACCUGAGACACGGUCCAGACUCCUACGGGAGGCAGCAGUGGGGAAUAUUGGACAAUGGGCGCAAUCCUGAUCCAGCCAUACCGCGUGGGUGAAGAAGGCCUUCGGGUUGUAAAGCCCUUUUGUUGGGAAAGAAAAGCAGCAGGUUAAUACCCCGCUGUUCUGACGGUACCAAAAGAAUAAGCACCGGCUAACUUCGUG